This 467-nucleotide ribosomal RNA is filed under the name uncultured bacterium. Its description in RNAcentral is "bacterial SSU rRNA". It matches the Rfam family "Bacterial small subunit ribosomal RNA", at positions 355 to 825 of the family's 1533-position model. The record is from RNAcentral.
UCGGGAAUUUUGGGCAAUGGGCGAAAGCCUGACCCAGCAACGCCGCGUGCAGGAAGAAGGCCCUAUGGGUCGUAAACUGCUUUUGAACAAGAGAAAACCCCGGUACGUGUACUGGGUUGAUAGUAUUGUUAGAAUAAGCAUCGGCUAACUUCGUGCCAGCAGCCGCGGUAAGACGAAGGAUGCAAGCGUUAUCCGGAUUCAUUGGGUUUAAAGGGUGCGUAGGCGGACUGAUAAGUCAGUGGUGAAAUCUCUCGGCUUAACCGAGAAACUGCCAUUGAUACUGUUAGUCUAGAGUACAGAUGAUGUGGGCGGAAUAUGACAUGUAGUGGUGAAAUACUUAGAUAUGUCAUAGAACACCGAUUGCGAAGGCAGCUCACAAAACUGUAACUGACGCUGAGGCACGAAAGUGCGGGGAUCAAACAGGAUUAGAUACCCUCGUAGUCCCUGAGCGGGCUGGCAAGGCGCAU